UAGCAGCACAUCAUGGUUUGCAUGAUCUUGUAAAGAUGCUAAUCAUUAUUUGCUGCUUUA
This 60-nucleotide microRNA precursor is filed under the name Alligator mississippiensis (American alligator). Its description in RNAcentral is "Ami-Mir-15-P1b_pre stem-loop". Lineage: Eukaryota; Metazoa; Chordata; Crocodylia; Alligatoridae. The record is from RNAcentral.